CCACUUUACAACCCUAAAAUCAGAUGACAUUUAAGUUUGACAUCAGUCGUGCAUGACGUGACAAAAAGAAAAAUAAAGUACCAACACAAAACGAAACUCGCGAGAAAAAUUCAAAAACAAUUUCUUCAAAUCUUCAACAAUGAAUUUCAAGCUGUGCGUAUUUCUAUUUACGUUGCUGACAGUAACAAAUGUCGAAGCAGCACAGGGUUACGAUUUCGGCGACUUCUUGGCGACAAUUUUAGGACUUGGAAUUGCUGGUAUAGGGAUUCUUGCAUGUUUAGGCAAAUAUGCGAGACAACAAGCAAGAAAUGAGUUCAUUUAAACUACCGACCUGCAAGCACUGAAAAUGGGAAUAUGUGAUGAAAUAACUUGUAACAAAAUAAAUAAAAACCAAACUGUUCAAACAAUAAAUCAUAUACGUUUUGCGCAUCACUAAUUUGUAUGAAUGGUUAUGAAUUGUAGAGGGAAGUGUAUUUCUAAUCAUUACCAUCAUUAUCAUUAUAAGGCUAUCCAAAUAUGUAGCAAAUGUAGAAUGUAAGUAUAUUUUUUGUAUGAGAGGAGCUAUUUUCAAACAAAAUAUACAUGCCAGCUUAGACUAAGGAGUAUUUUAUCAUGUAUCAUUAUAGUUCUUAGAAAACCUUUCAAUAUAAUAUCUUGAACUUGUUAUGUAAAUUACCUUUCAUUAGCUCUAUAGUACAUGAAUGGUAAUUACACACAAGUCCCUUAUGUUUUGUCUGAAAAUAGACAAAGCCUUACCAUCAAGACAAUGUGAUAUUUCUUCUAUUAUUAGAGAUGUCUCCGAGAUUGGUUAGGCUGUAUUUUUUAUCUUUAUUUUUGUAAAAUUUAAUCUCGAAUUCAGAAUUUCAAUUUAUUAAAUAUUUGUUUUUGAUUUUCAAUA
Long non-coding RNA from Spodoptera frugiperda (fall armyworm), 898 nucleotides. RefSeq lists it as uncharacterized. The record is from RefSeq and is a predicted model, not a curated record. Lineage: Eukaryota; Metazoa; Arthropoda; Insecta; Lepidoptera; Noctuidae. The transcript is spliced from 2 exons.